Molecule: long non-coding RNA, 763 nt
Filed under: Equus caballus (horse)
Lineage: Eukaryota; Metazoa; Chordata; Mammalia; Perissodactyla; Equidae
Description: lncRNA (ENSECAG00000045646.1)
Source: RNAcentral
GUGAGCAUGACGUGGGAUUUUUCAUCUGGAUGGAGUUAUAAGAAGCUAAGUUUGAUGAAUGACUUCCAGAUAUACUGGCAGCCCUAGGAUGCAUCACGGCCCUUGGGAUGGUGGUGUUCUUCCCACUCCAGAUGUUUGAUGUGUCGUCUUCUUCCAGAACCCUGAGAGCCUUCCGCCAAUCCCCACACCUCCAUUCUUUCUGCUGGACUUCUCAGAGGUCAUCCCAUACAUGGCGCUCUGCCACAGCUUCCCAGAAACAGAUCAGCAAACCCUCACCAGCGAGAAGGAAGCUAUCCACAACCCAGGAAGAGAGCUCUCACCAAGAACCGAAUCUGCUAGCACUUUGGACUUCCCAGCCUUCAGAACGAUUGUCGCUGAGCUACCAUCUGUGCCAAUCUUCUGCUAUUUUAUAUGUGGGAUGUUGCCACAGCAUGGCCUGAUGAGUGGUGUGUAGGUCUGCACCUGGGAUCCAAACCCACGAACGCCUGGCCGCCGAAGUGGAGUAUGCAAACUUAACCAGUAUGCCGCCAGGAAAAGAGCCUACGUGAGAAGCGAGCUAUGGGAUGCAGGCACUGUGGCCCCAAAGAUGGAGGAACAGUGUGGGAACAAGGCCUGGGAGCUGCUGCACAGUUCCUCCCAAGGCGAUCAGAGCGUCUGGAACAGCCUCAUCCUCUCCCAGGAAGGCUGCUGCUUGGCACUGAUGUUAUAUUUCAGGGCCUGCCCGGGACCGACUCACUCAACACAGCAAAGAAGAAUAAAACAG